GGGCUCACUUCACCAGCACAUACACUAAAAUUGGAAUGAUACAGAGAAGAUUAGCAUGGACACCUACACAAAGAUGACACACAAAUUUGUGAAGCAUUCCAUAUUUUU
Non-coding RNA from Myotis davidii, 108 nucleotides. The record is from Rfam. Lineage: Eukaryota; Metazoa; Chordata; Mammalia; Chiroptera; Vespertilionidae.